GACGAACGCUGGCGGCGUGCUUAACACAUGCAAGUCGAACGGAAAGGCCCUGCUUUUGUGGGGUGCUCGAGUGGCGAACGGGUGAGUAACACGUGAGUAACCUGCCCUUGACUUUGGGAUAACUUCAGGAAACUGGGGCUAAUACCGGAUAGGAGCUCCUGCUGCAUGGUGGGGGUUGGAAAGUUUCGGCGGUUGGGGAUGGACUCGCGGCUUAUCAGCUUGUUGGCGGGGUAGUGGCUUACCAAGGCUUUGACGGGUAGCCGGCCUGAGAGGGUGACCGGCCACAUUGGGACUGAGAUACGGCCCAGACUCCUACGGGAGGCAGCAGUGGGGAAUAUUGCACAAUGGGCGGAAGCCUGAUGCAGCAACGCCGCGUGCGGGAUGACGGCCUUCGGGUUGUAAACCGCUUUCGCCUGUGACGAAGCGUGAGUGACGGUAAUGGGCAAAGAAGCACCGGCUAACUACGUG
RNAcentral lists this ribosomal RNA (468 nucleotides) under uncultured bacterium. RNAcentral describes it as "partial 16S ribosomal RNA". It matches the Rfam family "Bacterial small subunit ribosomal RNA", at positions 28 to 507 of the family's 1533-position model. The record is from RNAcentral.